This is a small nucleolar RNA of Tupaia belangeri (northern tree shrew), 103 nucleotides long. The record is from Ensembl. NCBI's taxonomy places the organism in Eukaryota, Metazoa, Chordata, Mammalia, Scandentia, Tupaiidae.
AUACUUUUUAGUUCAUAAGCAUGACAAUUGGGUGUUCAUGCCAUUGUGUGAUACAUGCCUCCCCAACACUUUGUUAGGAUAUUAGCAUAGUACCCAUCUGAUG